This 894-nucleotide unclassified non-coding RNA is filed under the name Hevea brasiliensis (rubber tree). Lineage: Eukaryota; Viridiplantae; Streptophyta; Magnoliopsida; Malpighiales; Euphorbiaceae. The record is from RNAcentral.
AGAUUGUCAGGCAUAGACAGCUGUCCACUUCGAUCCAAUCUUUUCUCAAAUAACUGGUUCUGUCUAUUAAAUUCCUCCAAUUUUUCUCGAAGAUAUAUGAUCUCAGAGUCCUUAAGCCUCAACUGAGACUCCAAUUUCUUCCCCAUAAUUUCAUAGGUCUUUGAAACACUCUUUUGCUCCUGAACUUCAGCCAACAGCAAAGUAGUCUCCGGAGAAGGAUCAAACUGUUUUUUCAAAUGGCACUGUUUCAACGCAGACAAAUUCUUCAACUCGGAAACCACUAAUUUAUCAGCUGCUUGGAUCCCAUCAACAUCAUAAGGAGACUGCGCACACUGUAACUGAGCAUAUGAAAUGCUGGCGAACAGUUUUGCAAGAAGAGCUUCCACAGCCAAACUCUUUUGGUGUUCGUCAUCAUUGCUGAUGUUGAAGGACUGACGCAGACUGAUUGUGCUCUUAUUGCCAAUCUUAUUAUCAUUCUUGACCUGUUCCUGGGACUUGACUUUUUGCACACCAUCAACUGGAGCAAUCCCAGUUGCAGCACGAAGAUGAAGAACUUUCGCCACCGUGCGUGCCAAGCUUACUCUUUUUUGGAGUCACGGAAGAUGGUUUAACAGAAGCCAGCUCGAAAAUGCAGGGAAAUUUCGUCAAUUUCUGUUCAUAGAAAAAUCUCAAGGAACAGAGACCCACACGACCUCGCUAUUGCCGACCUCUACAAGACCAAAAACCCUUGAAAACUAAGAACCUUCACAGAAAAAUCUGUCAGUUUGACGCAAAAAACAAAUAAAAACUGAUAAGCACUUCUCUCCAACGUCUUCGUUGAUUCUUUCCAAAUUAAUCUAAUCAAGAAACUUGCUUUUCUUACAGCAGAGAUUAAAUCGCUAUUGCCAUAAAAGC